AAUGGGUCAGCGACUUAUAUUCUGUAGCAAGGUUAACCGAAUAGGGGAGCCGAAGGGAAACCGAGUCUUAACUGGGCGUUAAGUUGCAGGGUAUAGACCCGAAACCCGGUGAUCUAGCCAUGGGCAGGUUGAAGGUUGGGUAACACUAACUGGAGGACCGAACCGACUAAUGUUGAAAAAUUAGCGGAUGACUUGUGGCUGGGGGUGAAAGGCCAAUCAAACCGGGAGAUAGCUGGUUCUCCCCGAAAGCUAUUUAGGUAGCGCCUCGUGAAUUCAUCUCCGGGGGUAGAGCACUGUUUCGGCAAGGGGGUCAUCCCGACUUACCAACCCGAUGCAAACUGCGAAUACCGGAGAAUGUUAUCACGGGAGACACACGGCGGGUGCUAACGUCCGUCGUGAAGAGGGAAACAACCCAGACCGCCAGCUAAGGUCCCAAAGUCAUGGUUAAGUGGGAAACGAUGUGGGAAGGCCCAGACAGCCAGGAUGUUGGCUUAGAAGCAGCCAUCAUUUAAAGAAAGCGUAAUAGCUCACUGGUCGAGUCGGCCUGCGCGGAAGAUGUAACGGGGCUAAACCAUGCACCGAAGCUGCGGCAGCGACACUAUGUGUUGUUGGGUA
RNAcentral lists this ribosomal RNA (615 nucleotides) under Escherichia coli. RNAcentral describes it as "bacterial LSU rRNA". It matches the Rfam family "Bacterial large subunit ribosomal RNA", at positions 614 to 1230 of the family's 2925-position model. The record is from RNAcentral. Lineage: Bacteria; Pseudomonadati; Pseudomonadota; Gammaproteobacteria; Enterobacterales; Enterobacteriaceae.